CAGUAGCCGCGGGAAUACGUAGGUCCCGAGCGUUGUCCGGAUUUAUUGGGCGUAAAGGGAGCGCAGGCGGUUAGAUAAGUCUGAAGUUAAAGGCUGUGGCUUAACCAUAGUACGCUUUGGAAACUGUUUAACUUGAGUGCAGAAGGGGAGAGUGGAAUUCCAUGUGUAGCGGUGAAAUGCGUAGAUAUAUGGAGGAACACCGGUGGCGAAAGCGGCUCUCUGGUCUGUAACUGACGCUGAGGCUCGAAAGCGUGGGGAGCGAACAGGAUUAGAUACCCGCGUAGUCCCUGUCUCUUAUACA
Molecule: ribosomal RNA, 301 nt
Filed under: uncultured bacterium
Lineage: Bacteria
Description: partial 16S ribosomal RNA
Rfam family: Bacterial small subunit ribosomal RNA
Source: RNAcentral